CCUACGGGAGGCAGCAGUGGGGAAUAUUCGGCAAUGGAGGAAACUCUGACCCAGCAACGCCGCGUGAAUGAUGAAGGUCUUCGGAUUGUAAAGUUCUUUUCUAAGGGAAGAAGAAAGUGACGGUACCUUAAGAAUAAGCCUCGGCUAACUACGUACCAGCAGCCGCGUUACUACGUAGGAGGCGAGCGUUAGCCGGAAUGACUGGGCGUAAAGUGUGCGUAGGUGGUUUGGCAAGUUAGUAGCGUAACUCCAAGGCUCAACCUUGGAACUACUACUAAAACUGUUGGACUUGAGUGCAGGAGAGGCGACGGGAAUUCCUAGUGUAGCGGUGGAAUGCGUAGAUAUUAGGAGGAACACCAGUGGCGAAGGCGGGUUGCUAGACUGUAACUGACACUGAGGCACGAAAGCGUGGGGAGCAAACAGGAUUAGAUACCCCAGGAGUC
Molecule: ribosomal RNA, 443 nt
Filed under: uncultured bacterium
Lineage: Bacteria
Description: partial 16S ribosomal RNA
Rfam family: Bacterial small subunit ribosomal RNA
Source: RNAcentral